Molecule: unclassified non-coding RNA, 455 nt
Filed under: Hevea brasiliensis (rubber tree)
Lineage: Eukaryota; Viridiplantae; Streptophyta; Magnoliopsida; Malpighiales; Euphorbiaceae
Source: RNAcentral
AAAAAAAUACCAGGAAUGGGAGGAGCUGAAUCCACAGUUCAUUCGAAUUUUGGUCAUUCCCAGAUGAAGGGCAGUGAAAGUAUUCAGUUUGGUGCUAUGAUGGAGAACUUAAAAUCUCCAGAGUCACAGUAUGAGGGUGGGAAGUUAGAAAACAGGAACAUUGGCCUGCCUCCUAUUGAUAUAUCUCUUGUAGAUUUUGACAUCAAUACCUUGCAGAUCAUAAAAAAUGAAGAUCUCGAAGAGCUGAGAGAACUAGGUUCUGGUACUUUUGGAACUGUAUAUCAUGGAAAAUGGAGGGGAUCAGACGUUGCCAUUAAGAGGCUAAAGAAGAUUUGUUUCACUGGUCGAUCAUCAGAGCAAGAGAGAUUGACUAUAGAGUUUUGGCGGGAAGCUGAAAUUCUUUCAAAGCUUCACCAUCCAAAUGUAGUAGCAUUUUAUGGUGUGGUGCAAGAUGG